GUGAAUACAGCGUGAGCGCGCAUUUUCUAAUGGCUGCUGAUCACUAUUGCAGAAAGAUCAAAGCAAGGCCAACCAGGAUGAGAUGAAAAUGUGUAUCAAGAGUUCAACCAGAUAGUGUGGAAGAAUCUUAAGCAAGAAUUAUAUUGGUCUCUUGAUCAUCACUGCCCACAGCUGAUUCGGAUCUUCAGGUCAAAGAGAGGAUUCACUGGACAGAUUUUUAUCUUCUACAAAAUAUCAAGGCGUCUGACCUCACUGACAUGCCUUGUGUUGCCAUUUGAGUGCUUCCAGUAGUUGUUGGUGAUGACCCAACAGUUCUUCAAAGCAUGUUUUGCUUCAGAUGAUGGAGACUCAAAUCAACAUGUGCCCGUUGGAAUUCUUAACCAAGAAAAUUAAGAUGUGGCUCUGCAACCCCUGUCCUUCCACCUCCACCCAUUCUCUGGGAAUCAUCUUGGAGGGAAAUGUUGUAAUGGACAAUAUAGACAAUAUACCCCAGGCCAAGUGUCUUUUUGGAUCAACCUAUGCACUGCACCUAGGCUACACAAAAUGCAUGGACAAUACCCUUCUUUUUAUUCAACAAGUUUGGGUAAGAAGAUGCUGAAGGGUAAGAUUCUGGCUGUUAAAAAUCAACUUGUCAUGUAAACUGGUACAGAAAAGGCAUGUUCCUUCAGGCUUGCUGUCCUAACUGUGAGAUAAAAAAAAUUAAAACUAUGCUUUAGUGUUUGGCAAGUGUAAAUAUUCCAUAAUGUUAAAAUGUAAUAACAUCCUGUGGUUGUUUAUUUUUUGGAUAUGUUUGUAAAAAUGUAUUUAAAAAUUUUAAACAAGUGUUUUAAUAAGAUUUAUAACAAUAAAUAUUGACUAAUUGUUAUACAAGGC
Molecule: non-coding RNA, 873 nt
Organism: Danio rerio (zebrafish)
Lineage: Eukaryota; Metazoa; Chordata; Actinopteri; Cypriniformes; Danionidae
Source: Ensembl